Long non-coding RNA from Prosopis cineraria, 4367 nucleotides. RefSeq lists it as uncharacterized. The record is from RefSeq and is a predicted model, not a curated record. The transcript is spliced from 2 exons. Lineage: Eukaryota; Viridiplantae; Streptophyta; Magnoliopsida; Fabales; Fabaceae.
UCUGGCUCUUCAACGUUGGUCCACUUCUCCAGCUCUUCUAGUCCUUUUCCUUGCUCUCCGUCAACCUGUAUCUCGUCGCUACUGUUGGUUUAUCUGCUACUCUUCUCUCUGUUAAGAUUCAGCUGCGAUAGGGUGUUUGGGUCGCUGAAUUCUCUUCCUCUGUCACUGUUUUAUGCUUCUUCCUUCCUCUGGGUCAGCGGGUAUAUGAACUUCAUCUUCCCUUCCUCUUUUGCUAGCUGUUGAGUGUAGUGGAGACCAAAAAUUUUCUCCUUUUCUUCUCAGACGCAAAGCAUGUAUUUGUUCAUAGAUGUUGCCACUAAAUUUCGUUUGGGUGUAAGUUGCUGGGUUUUUCUCUUCCUUUUCAGUUUCUAUAGCAGCACCAAGUGAUUCUUUCGCUCCUCUAGCUGAGUUAUGACACACUAAUUCUUUAUUGUUGCUGUCAUAAAAUUUUAAAAGAAUUAAGGUUUAGUUUAAGUCAAUAUUAGAUCCUGUGCUGUUGUGGUGACUAAACUAAAUUUGGUUAAUAAAAGUAAAAGCUGGUGAGUUGUUGGAAUUUUUUGAUUGUUCAUCUUAUAAUUUUUGUCAAUGAUAAAUAUAUGCUUUGAAGGUAUUUGUAAAAAUAUUUGAGAGAACAAUUUGAUGAAUUAUGAGUUGUUAAAACUUCUAUAUUAUAGCUGAGAGAAGUAUAUGUAAUUAUGAUUUAAGUUAUUAAUUAAAAAUUUUAAAAUACUAAAGUGGGAGAAAGGAUUGCAAAGGAAACCUGUUUCACUUUUUUUUUUAAGUUUGGAGGAAGUUUAAGAAUAAUUGAUAUAGUUUAUUAUGAUUUACAAAUGAGUAUGGGUUAUAAGGGAGUGUAAGAAUAAAUAGAAAGUUGUCAAAUGAUUUAAUUAACUCAAAUAUAUUUGAAACAUACUUGGUUAGAGUAUUAUUUUUAAUAUUGGUUGGAUUGAAUUCAAAUGUUCAAUAAGUGAUCGAAAACUUUCUUGAUAAAUGAUUUUAGAAUUAUAAUUUAUUUGUUAGAAAAUUAAGAAUACCAUUGAAGUUAAAGUGAAAGAUUAAGAAAAGCACGCUUUAGAACUUUGAGAAACUAUUAGAUAAGUGGGUAGCUUUUCAAAUAUAUGAAAUUCUUUAUUUAAAUUUUACUAUUAUUCUUUUAUAAAUUGUACAAAUAUCAUUGUUAAUCCUAUUUUUUUUAAUAAUUAUCUUAUUAAUAAAAAUGUCUUGAUUUUACUGGUAAUCUAUGUUGUUGAUAAGUAAUGGUUGAAACGUAUAUAUGAUAAAUAACAUAUAUUUUUUAAAGUAGUUUAAUUACUGAAUUUUAUGUUAAUAUAAAAUUUUUAAUGUAAUGAUUCAUGUAUGGAGGAAAUAAUGAUAAAUUUGGACAAUAAAAAAUGAUGGUUGAAUGGUGUUUGAAAGAGAAAAUUUUGAAAUUGUUUUCUUAUUCCAUACAUACUUGAUUUUCUUUGAGGAGGACUGAGUUCAAAAUGUCAAAUACUAAUGGCAAUCUCGUUAGCCCUAGGUGCGUCAUGGUACACCUAACUAGUAGGAUGUUUAUAGGAGGUAUUAGCCCUAUAUGCAAGCCAACACACGUUGAAUGGAAGGAUGGAUAUUCACGAAUAUCGCACUCAAACUUGUUCAUGGGCUUUACGCUUGUGCUUUUUUCAUGGCUUCUAAUUGUGCUUGAUUAUUUCGUGGCUUUAAGCCAUGCUUGUUAGUUAUUUACUCUCAUUGAUUGUGUGUCCACACUUGAUUGGUUAUUUAGUCUCGUGAACUAUGUGUUCACGCUUGUUAUUUGUUUUGAUAAAGCCCUCCUAAAUUUAAGUUAAAACUUAUCAUUUUUCUAACAAUUUUUGAAAGGUACUUUAUUGAACUGCUCUAUUAUUGAAAUUUUUUUAUUUUAUGAGUAGUCAACAUUUUUAAUACAUUUGUGUGAUUCCAUUAGCAUUGUUUAAUUUUAUGACUAUAUUAUUGAGAAAAAUCAUUAUUUAUUUCUAGCUUAAGUAUAUGAUUCAUUAUUUUAUUAAGUUAUUUUGAGUAAAAUUUAUUAAUUAUUAUCUUCUUCUUUUCUUUAUUGUAAUUUUGAUUGGAACGCUACUCACCGAUAAGUUUUUUGAUCUUAAAUAUUGUAACUAACCCUAUGCCUCUAGCAAAUAUUUAGGGGCCUUUUUGCUUUUUUAGAAAAAAGGAAGCAUAUUGUGAUUAUUGUUUUGAUAAAACUAUGUAUUUUAUUUUGUAAUCAUAGCUUACUACUCCACAUGCAUGUCCUAGUCUUAUUUAGUUGUUAUGUAAAUUGCUGAAAUGGAGCUAAUAUCCUUACUAGUCUAGUUGGUAAGUUCUGUUGUUGCUGUGAAAAAUUUUAGAGGUUUAAAUUAUAGGAGUGACUCUACUAAAAUUUUUACAAAAUAUUCAAAAUUUUACAAACUUUAUUGUUAUAUAUAAUUUAUAUAUAUCAAUAUUUUAUCUUAAUUCUUGGUUAAUCAAGGCUUAUAGAAUAUGAGUUUACCUCAUAUUUCAUGCCGAUCAUACCCUUAAUAUUAGGGUGUAACAUUUUUAGACCAUUAAGUUUAUCUUAAGUAUUGAUUUGGUUCCUCAAUUUUAAUUUUAAUUAAUUUGGUCCCUUAAAUUUGAUUUAAUUAUCAAUUUGAUUUUUAUUAUUUAAAUAGGAAGUAACAUUGUUAAAACCGCGCACAUGGAUACCAAAAUAUUGGUGGUUGCUAUGUAGAUUAAUAAAAAAGAAAUAUGAUUAUUUAGGAAGGAAAACAAGUUGACUCCAAAAUUUUUAAAAAUAAAAGAACAAAAUACAACAUAAGAAACUAAAUUGAUACAAAAUUAAACUAAUUUAAAAAUUAAUUUAUUCUCAUUUAACUGUAUAUGCAUCUCAAGCCAUCAAUAUAUUUUACAAAUUAAAUUAAUUCGAGAGUUAAUUUGUGUUUUAUUUUUUUAAAAAAAUAUAACAUUAUAAUUUAAAAACAUAAAGAAUCAAAUAAAUAAAAAUUAAAUUUGAGAAAUUAAAUUAAUAAUUGAUAAUAAAUUCAGAAGCUAAACCUUAUGGAUCAAAUUGAUAAAAAUUAAAUCAAUUUGGUUUGGAGCACUCUCAAUACAGUCUCCUCAACUGCUAGGUGGUUGGAACCUGAGGAAGGUCAAAAACUUGCUUCUACUCCUUGUCAUAACCAUGAAUAUGAUUUGGGAGUAAAGGAAUCAAACAUUACAUAAGGGCGCAGUUCAAGCUGGAAAAAAUAAUUUCAGAAAUUAAUCAUCAAUUACAUUACCUAAUAGAUGUAUGAAGAUCCCAAGUUCCCAGAGGAUUAACCAAAUGAAAUAUAAUUUGGAGGGUCGGGGUACAAUGACAUAAUAUAAAUAAUAUUAUUGUAAAAAUUAUUGUUCUUCUCACUCACUCUCAUGCUUUCACUCCCCCUCAUCAUAAAACUGAAAAUUAUAAUUACAUCUAUGUUAAAUUUAUUAAUUUUAUAAUAAUUUUUAAACAAUGAUUGAAUACAUUCUUUCAUUCCUCUAAUAAAACUUUCAAAGAAUGAAAUAUUUUAUUCUGUUCUAUUCCAUUUCAUCCCACUCUGUUCAUUCUAUUCCAUUAAUAAUCAUUCUUUUUUAUAUAUCAUCAUCUACUCUCAGACAUAUAUGCUCUUAAGCCAUGUUUGAUGCAUUGAAUUUGGUCAAGGAGAAAUGAAAUUAAAAUUGGAAUCAUACUUUCAUUAGUUUGGUAUUAAUGAAUCCAAAUUCUUAAUAGAUUUUAAUUCUACCAAAAUACCCAUAAUUCAAUUUCCUUCAUAUCAUGACCAUGGAAUUGCCAUUAGCAAUGAUUUUUUUGUUUUUGAUUUUACUUUUUAUAAGGGCAUUUUAGCCUUUAUAUAUUUUAAACACAUAUAUUUAUUAAAAUUAUAUUUAGAUUAUAUUUUCAUACCAAACAUACAUCUAUAACUCAUUUUUAUUCUGAUUUCAAUUCCAACUUUAGUUCUAAUUCUGAUUAUAUUAAAAACUCUUUCAUCAUAUUAAACGAGGCGUUAUGUCGGAAACAGGAAAAUAGGGAUGGAUUAACUGUACAAAUUACGUUUUUUUUUCUAUGAUAACUCUGACAUGGAAAUUAAAAAGAAUAAGAACAAUAAUGGAAAUCUACCGGAUUUUGCUGAUGAUUGCCUCAGACGAGCGCUCAACUGGAUCUGUUGCUGCAAUUGGAGCGUCCUUCAUCACUCAAAGCUCUUCUUCAUCGACUUCGAUACUAACAAACCAUUGUUGAUGUAAUUUUGUUCAUUUAUGUUUAGCUCAUGAUGACUUACAAGAUCUUAAUACCUGCUUUCCUCGUCAGAUAUUGCAACUGUAAUAUUUUCUUCAUUUCUUUUAAUAUUUUUCAACCA